RNAcentral lists this ribosomal RNA (468 nucleotides) under uncultured bacterium. RNAcentral's name for it is "partial 16S ribosomal RNA". It matches the Rfam family "Bacterial small subunit ribosomal RNA", at positions 28 to 507 of the family's 1533-position model. The record is from RNAcentral.
GACGAACGCUGGCGGCGUGCUUAACACAUGCAAGUCGAACGGAAAGGCCCUGCUUUUGUGGUGUGCUCGAGUGGCGAACGGGUGAGUAACACGUGAGUAACCUGCCCUUGACUUUCGGAUAACUUCAGGAAACUGGGGCUAAUACCGUAUAGGAGCUCCUGCUGCAUGGUGGGGGUUGGAAAGUUUCGGCGGUUGGGGAUGGACUCGCGGCUUAAGAGCUUGUUGGUGGGGUAGUGGCUUACCAAGGCUGUGACGGGUACCCGGCAUGAGAGGGUGACCGGCGACAAUGGGACUGAGAUACGGCGCAGACUCGUACGGGAGGCAGCAGGGGGAAAUAUUGCACAAUGAGCGGAAGCCUGAUGCAGCAACGCCGCGUGCGAGAUGACGGCCUUCGGGUUGUAAACCGCAGUCGCCUGUGACGAAGCGUGAGUGACGGUAAUGGGUAAAGAAGCACCGGCUAACUACGUG